Molecule: RNA transcript, 2750 nt
Organism: Panicum virgatum (switchgrass)
Lineage: Eukaryota; Viridiplantae; Streptophyta; Magnoliopsida; Poales; Poaceae
Gene name: DNA gyrase subunit A-like
Exons: 6
Source: RefSeq, a predicted model, not a curated record
UUCCCAAAUCUCGCAAAAAUCACGGUGCCGCCUCGAUGCCUUCCUUCCAUCCAUCCACCCAGUCCCGCCCCCAUGGGCCAUCGCCUCCGCCUCCCCAGCAACCCCACGCCACCGCGUCGCCCUCUUCUUCCUGCUCCUCCUCCCCGUCCACCUCGCCCUCGCCACCGCGCAGGCCGCAGGGGUUACGCGGCUUCUCCUACCUCCUCAACUGCGGCGUUGUGCUACUACCCUCGACUCCUCACCCGCCCGCUCACCAUCUCUCCUCUCCCGUUUCUCCCUCCCUCUCCCCUCCAAAUCCGGCGGCCGGCGAGGCGAGAGCGCGGCCUUCGCUUGCCAGUCCUGGCGGCCGGCGGCCGGCAGCGUUGCUAGGAUGUAGCCGCCGGCACUCGGAUCUGCCUCGGGGUGGGCCCGCUGGAGGCACGAUGAUGAACACAGGCCCCGCGACGACUCUUGGCGAGGGGGGGGGGGGGGGGGGGCUCACCUCGCUCAACUCUACGGCGCAGCGGGGCCGACGAGAGGGCCGAAGCCAUGGGUGGGCGCUUCAAGAUUUGCCUUGCUCAUGGACGACGAGGGGGCCGACAGCGACCGUGGAUGGCCGAUACGGAGGUGGUGUAUGCGCUCACUGCCCAGAAUCUCCCGUCCCCAUCAAUUUUGUCGACCAGCUGAGCAGCUCCCUGCUCCACCAAGGAUCCAUGGGAUUGGGAAGCACGAAUCCCCCUCAGCCACGAAUCUCUUGUGCUGUGUAUUAAAGGAUGACUUCAUACCAAACUUUGAUAACUCACAGAGGGAGCCAUCUCUGCUGCUGGCUCGUGUUCCAUCUCUAUUGUUGAAUGGUUCUUCUGGGAUUGCGGUCGGAAUGGCAACAAACAUUCCUCCUCACAAUCUGGGGGAGCUUGUUGAUGCACUUUCUGUUAUAGUUCAAAAGCCUGAAGCCACAAAUCAUUGGAAUUAUUUUGGUGAUUGUUAAAGUAACAUUGGCAGAACCACCCAGAGGCUGAGGUUGCUGCUCUGCCGCCACCGGCCACCACCGACACCGAGGAGGAUCGCGCAGCGGCCGCCACACCAGCCGACAACAAUCCCUCCAUCACAGUACCGUGGGAAGAUUGAAAAAUAGCAGACUAAAGUAGAGAAAUGGUUUGAGAUAUGUGGCAUAACGAUGCCUAACAUCAAACAGGGGAUGUUUUAAUACAUAUUUUUGCUUACUAUGAGAAGAAGGUAUGAACAAAUGGAUUCUUUUCUUUAUUCACACAUUGCAAUGGUCAUUCUUAAUUGAUCUGUUGAAAGGAAACCAUGUUCAUCGGCAAGUUGCUUGGAUAUACCGGUUCUCGUGGGAACCAAUGCAUUUAGGUCUUCUCAUUAUUUACAAAAGAUUGUGCUGAUAUAGGAUUAUCUACUACUAUUCUAGGUUUCAAUAUAUUUACAAACUAAUUGAUCAGGCCUUCAGAGGCUUCCAGGUUCAGCCGUGGUCAUCACGAGUGCAAGCUGAUAAGAGCAACAACCAUAUGGAGCAUUGCAGGUUCUGUGAAUUGUGCUAAUAAAUAAUGGGUUAACAAGCAUGCCAUUGUCAGCAUUGAGUUCAUCUCCUGUUUACUCUUCCUGCUAUUCCAUGAAGAUUUGGAGAGGAAGGCUGUUUGUUCUUCCUGCCAUUCCAAGAAGAUCUAGAGAGGAAGGCUGAGGUGCUCGAGAAGAAAAUAUUUCUACUUUGGGGCCAUGUAAAUCACAGAAUAAAGUUAGCAUAAAUUAUUGGGAGCUCAUAGUUCUUUUUUGGACUAAUUUCAGGUUUCCACACUGAUACAACAGGAUUGACUAAUUUCAGGUUUGAUUUGAUUAUUCUAUUCUCUUCUCGAUUUAAUGAAUGCUUUGAUAUUUUCCGCUAAUUAAAGAUGGGUUGUGAUUGAUCCAGGAAGAGUAUUAGUGAUGGGGUUAAAUACUAAGACCUUAGCUAUCUCUAUAUAAAUGGAGGUUUUUUCCUUUGGGUGUUUUUUCAUUCAUUAAGUUCAGCUUUUUUAUUGCUGUAUGUACCAAGCUGAAUGUCAUACAUGAGCUCCAAUAUGUCUAUUCUAAGAGAUUUACAUGAUACUACUAUAUAUAUUAAGCUAUUUUUGGUACAGUCAAGGACACAGAAUGCUUGCUUGGUAGAGCUGACAAGUUCAGGCAAUAUGGCUACAAUGCAGUCCUUAUGCAAUCUGAUUCUGUCAAGUAUGCUCUUAUGCAACAUGUGAUUUUUUUUUCCUUCUGUGGCCAUUUGUGGAGAGUUUAUCUAAAUGCCUAAAGCAUGGACUUUACAAUCCACUUAAAGCAAGAUCAAAGUAUUGCAGAUGCGAUAUACAUCACUAACAGUGUUUCAUUCUCCUUUGUGAUUUUUGACAUUCCUGUUUUCUGCCUUUAUUGAUACAAAAUUUGGUUACAAAAUUUUGACAUCUCUAACAGCUGAAGGCACUGCAAGAUCCCAGAACAAGACGCUCGAGAAACAGGAUCGGCGGCAGCAAGGACACGAGGGCUGGAGGGGAGGAGCAACCAGAUGGAGGUGCAUGGUCAAGCAAUCCCCGUUAGUUCAUGACCGCAGGCUAGGCGUCCGAACAAACAGAGUUGUAAAGGUGUAAAGGGUAGCCUAGACAAUCCUGUAAUUGUGUUUGAUGGGAUGGCUUGUCCAAAGUUAAACGAAAGAAUCAAUAUUGUUGUCUCCUCGUAAUCGCAUUGAAUCGUCUCUUUGGGCUGUUGUAAUACUUCAUUUGGAAGGGUCUUCUUCA